RNAcentral lists this long non-coding RNA (1597 nucleotides) under Phasianus colchicus (ring-necked pheasant). RNAcentral's name for it is "lncRNA (ENSPCLG00000022014.1)". The stretch from base 373 to 634 matches the Rfam family "SOX2 overlapping transcript exon 3". Lineage: Eukaryota; Metazoa; Chordata; Aves; Galliformes; Phasianidae. The record is from RNAcentral.
GUAAAGAGUCUAUGACUGUAACAUGGGAGGGGAAAACAGCAUGCCUGAUUGCAGCACCUGCUUGCACAGGUAAACUUAAUCAGAGCGCCAGGUAUCAGCUGAGCUCUGUUCAUCCAGCAGCAAUUAGCCCACCUCAGCUGUGAAGAAUUUAGCUAAACUCAUCAACAGUAUUCUGAGAAGAGGGAUGAUAGGAAAAGCUGUGUUUAGACUUCAUGCCUUACCAGCUGGAGUGGGGGCUGCUGGUGUUGCCUUCUGUCAACAGGGUCUGUGGGGUGACAGUCUGCUUGGAAAGCUCUGCCUCGCUCACAAGCUGAUAAGGAGAAUAUGCCAAGUCAACCAGAUGAGUCAGCACAGGCAACAUAAAGGACCGCAGUUAAAAGCUAGGGCUAGGACUUGGAGGAUGUGUAGGCAAACGGAAGGAGAGCCGGGGGAAGAAAAGCCGAAAUGGAUUCAUUCUCCGUCCUGGCUGGAGGAGGAGAGGAGCGGGGACGUGCGGGCUGCCUGCAGCUGCCUCUGUCCGGUGAGAAGUGCUCGCAGCCCCGCGGCUGACUCGGGCUCAGGAGUCCGCGCGGACUUUCGCUCUAAGCUGCCAAUCAAACCGCUAACCGCCACCACCCUGCGCCGGCACCGACAUGAAACGGAAAAAAUCCAGAGCAGUUGGUACACACGUUCUAACGUCAGGAAGGCUUUGCAGAAAACGCAGUGAAUCCUGCAGCAGUGUGAAUGAUUAACCCGGACCCGGAGCGGGGCUGCUGGGCUCCCCUGGAAACAGCAGUGCUGAGGGGGCUGUAAAGGGCUCGUAAAGUUUUCCCUCCGAGGGGCAGAAGUUGGCGCAUUGAGUGAGGCUGUAACCAAAACAGGAGCGCUUCCCGGGCUCGCUCGGUGCCAGCUGCGGGUCGGUCCUAAAGCCGGGAGGGAGCCGGGGGUGGCACGCACCUGGCAGCGAGGGGUGGGGGCAGCUCCACGCUUGUCCUCACUUGGAGGUAAAGUGCGGUUUUACUUUAUGUAUGUCUUCUGGAAAUAGGCUUUAUGGAUGUCCGCAUUUCCUCCAGGUCUCGAGGAGCAGAAGAGUGGAGGAAACAAAUCCUAAAAGCAAAAGGGAUGCGGGGCAGGUUUGCUCGCUCUACCCUUCCUUUCUCCUCCCCCAACUCCAGGCACGGCUGCAACAAGCCCGUCCAGGGCAGAGGGGUGCCGGAAGCAGCCCCGUUCCCUUGUCACACCCCAACCCAAGCUGGGGGGGUUCAGAUUUUUAAUGUGUCCUUCAGGUUUUUCUUGUCCACACACGCAGGCCUAAGCCCUUAGAGGGAUGCCAGGGAGCGGCCACGCUCCCUCCUGAAAAGGCUCUCUCGGGUCAUCUUGGGGCAGAGGACAGCAGAUAGACACAUGGGAAGCACUGAUGGCAUUAUUUAUAGCACCAUCUCUUUGCUCCGAUUAAGCGCCGUCUAAAUAUGAAUUCACAAUAUGGACAGCUAGUCUGUAAUUUGAAUUAAAAUCCCCCCAACGAGCCCGUCACUUGAGAAUUCUGAAAUCACAAGCCUAAGUUGUCACAAUGAGCCCAUGGUGUCAAUAAACCAUGGACGAGAUGGAGAGAUUGUCA